RNAcentral lists this ribosomal RNA (744 nucleotides) under uncultured Hyphomicrobiales bacterium. RNAcentral describes it as "bacterial SSU rRNA". It matches the Rfam family "Bacterial small subunit ribosomal RNA", at positions 8 to 796 of the family's 1533-position model. The record is from RNAcentral. Lineage: Bacteria; Pseudomonadati; Pseudomonadota; Alphaproteobacteria; Hyphomicrobiales.
AGAGUUUGAUCCUGGCUCAGAGCGAACGCUGGCGGCAGGCUUAACACAUGCAAGUCGAACGGGCACCUUCGGGUGUCAGUGGCAGACGGGUGAGUAACACGUGGGAACGUGCCCAUCGGUUCGGAACAACCCAGGGAAACUUGGGCUAAUACCGGAUACGACCUUACGGUGAAAGAUUUAUCGCCGAUGGAUCGGCCCGCGUCUGAUUAGCUAGUUGGUGAGGUAAUGGCUCACCAAGGCGACGAUCAGUAGCUGGUCUGAGAGGAUGAUCAGCCACACUGGGACUGAGACACGGCCCAGACUCCUACGGGAGGCAGCAGUGGGGAAUAUUGGACAAUGGGCGAAAGCCUGAUCCAGCCAUGCCGCGUGAGUGAUGAAGGCCUUAGGGUUGUAAAGCUCUUUCGGCGGGGACGAUAAUGACGGUACCCGCAGAAGAAGCCCCGGCUAACUUCGUGCCAGCAGCCGCGGUAAUACGAAGGGGGCUAGCGUUGCUCGGAAUCACUGGGCGUAAAGGGCGCGUAGGCGGCCGAUCAAGUCAGAGGUGAAAGCCCAAGGCUCAACCUUGGAAUUGCCUUUGAUACUGUUCGGCUCGAGACCGGAAGAGGUAAGUGGAACUGCGAGUGUAGAGGUGAAAUUCGUAGAUAUUCGCAAGAACACCAGUGGCGAAGGCGGCUUACUGGUCCGGUUCUGACGCUGAGGCGCGAAAGCGUGGGGAGCAAACAGGAUUAGAUACCCCGGUAGUCC